This 75-nucleotide transfer RNA is filed under the name Porticoccaceae bacterium. Its description in RNAcentral is "tRNA-Val". It matches the Rfam family "tRNA". Rfam says of the family: Transfer RNA (tRNA) molecules are approximately 80 nucleotides in length. Their secondary structure includes four short double-helical elements and three loops (D, anti-codon, and T loops). Further hydrogen bonds mediate the characteristic L-shaped molecular structure. tRNAs have two regions of fundamental functional importance: the anti-codon, which is responsible for specific mRNA codon recognition, and the 3' end, to which the tRNAs corresponding amino acid is attached (by aminoacyl-tRNA synthetases). tRNAs cope with the degeneracy of the genetic code in two manners: having more than one tRNA (with a specific anti-codon) for a particular amino acid; and 'wobble' base-pairing, i.e. permitting non-standard base-pairing at the 3rd anti-codon position. Lineage: Bacteria; Pseudomonadati; Pseudomonadota; Gammaproteobacteria; Cellvibrionales; Porticoccaceae. The record is from RNAcentral.
CAGUGGUUAGCUCAGUUGGUAGAGCAGCGCCCUUACAAGGUGUAGGUCACAGGCUCGACCCUGUACCACCCACCA